This 459-nucleotide ribosomal RNA is filed under the name uncultured bacterium. RNAcentral's name for it is "partial 16S ribosomal RNA". It matches the Rfam family "Bacterial small subunit ribosomal RNA", at positions 338 to 795 of the family's 1533-position model. The record is from RNAcentral.
CCUACGGGAGGCAGCAGUGAGGAAUAUUGGUCAAUGGGCGUAAGCCUGAACCAGCCAAGUCGCGUGAGGGAUGAAGGUUCUAUGGAUCGUAAACCUCUUUUAUAAGGGAAUAAAGUGUGGGACGUGUCCUGUUUUGUAUGUCCCUUAUGAAUAAGGAUCGGCUAACUCCGUGCCAGCAGCCGCGGUAAUCCGGGGGAUCCGAGCGUUAUCCGGAUUUAUUGGGUUUAAAGGGUGCGUAGGCGGCCUUUAAGUCUGCGGUGAAAGGCGGUGGCUCAACCAUAGAAUUGCCGUUGAAACUGGGUGGCUUGAGUAUGUGUGAGGCAGGCGGAAUGCGUGGUGUAGCGGUGAAAUGCUUAGAUAUCACGAAGAACCCCGAUUGCGAAGGCAGCCUGCCAAGCCAUGACUGACGCUGAUGCACGAAAGCGUGGGGAGCAAACAGGAUUAGAUACCCGAGUAGUC